CAGGUAAUAGCUUAUGCGUAAAGUUUAUUUUUUACAUAAAUAAGGAAAAUAUAUUAAUGUUUUAUCUGG
Molecule: transfer RNA, 69 nt
Filed under: Mesargus serrata
Lineage: Eukaryota; Metazoa; Arthropoda; Insecta; Hemiptera; Cicadellidae
Description: tRNA-Val
Source: RNAcentral